Molecule: transfer RNA, 73 nt
Filed under: Ovis aries (sheep)
Lineage: Eukaryota; Metazoa; Chordata; Mammalia; Artiodactyla; Bovidae
Rfam family: tRNA
About the family: Transfer RNA (tRNA) molecules are approximately 80 nucleotides in length. Their secondary structure includes four short double-helical elements and three loops (D, anti-codon, and T loops).
Source: Rfam by way of RNAcentral
UCCCUAGCGGUCCAGUGGUUAGGACUCCGCCCUUUCAAUGCUGGGGGUGCAGGUUCGAUCCUUGGUUAGGGAA